RNAcentral lists this unclassified non-coding RNA (108 nucleotides) under Aliivibrio fischeri ES114. The record is from RNAcentral. Lineage: Bacteria; Pseudomonadati; Pseudomonadota; Gammaproteobacteria; Vibrionales; Vibrionaceae.
UAUCCGCACUAUUUCAAGAAGGCACGACAUUGCUCACAUUGCUUCCAGUGUAAAUCAGCUACAUGAGCAGUGGUGGACGUACAAACGUAUUACCAUUGUUCUCUUUUU